This 278-nucleotide ribosomal RNA is filed under the name uncultured Pseudomonas sp. RNAcentral describes it as "partial 16S ribosomal RNA". It matches the Rfam family "Bacterial small subunit ribosomal RNA", at positions 1107 to 1382 of the family's 1533-position model. Lineage: Bacteria; Pseudomonadati; Pseudomonadota; Gammaproteobacteria; Pseudomonadales; Pseudomonadaceae. The record is from RNAcentral.
GUCCUUAGUUACCAGCACGUUAUGGUGGGCACUCUAAGGAGACUGCCGGUGACAAACCGGAGGAAGGUGGGGAUGACGUCACGUCAUCAUGGCCCUUACGGCCUGGGCUACACACGUGCUACAAUGGUCGGUACAAAGGGUUGCCAAGCCGCGAGGUGGAGCUAAUCCCAUAAAAACCGAAUCGUAGUCCGGAUCGCAGUCUGCAACUCGACUGCGUGAAGUCGGAAUCGCUAGUAAUCGUGAAUCAGAAUGUCACGGUGAAUACGUUCCCGGGCCUU